AAGUGGUCACAGAAGGAAGACUAGAGGAAGAAGUAGGCGAGAAUCAUCAUCAACACUGCAAGCAUCUUCGGUAUCCAGAAGCAGCAUCUUCGAUCUCCAGAGGCAGGUAUGACUUCGUCCCCUUUGCAUCUUCAUUU
Molecule: long non-coding RNA, 137 nt
Organism: Populus euphratica (Euphrates poplar)
Lineage: Eukaryota; Viridiplantae; Streptophyta; Magnoliopsida; Malpighiales; Salicaceae
Exons: 2
Source: RefSeq, a predicted model, not a curated record